CGUGUUUGUGACGUCAUAAUAAGGCGACCACCAAAAACGUAUGGAACUGCGUAUAGUGUUUCACAAGUCAAGGUCCUAAACCACUGUAUCCGGCCCUUAAUGUAAUUAUACAUGUAUAUUGAGCGAAGUAACGCUUGCAGGAUCUAUACAAGAGCUCCGGACCCCCAAGUGUCUUGCGACUUCCAUGCUCGUUCGUUCCAAGAAUUCAUCUGCCCUCUUACCACAAAAACUCAUAGCUACGGCCCUGAUGUAGUGUUAUUCACAGUACAGAAGAAAAAAAAACAGAAAAAAAUGUAUGGCGGAGUAAUGGAGUGUUUCCAAUUACAGCAGCAGAACAUCCCAGCAAAAAUUGCAGGAAGCUGUACCGACUAUGCUAAAUGAUGCCCCCUUACUUGCCCUAACGUCGAUGGUUUCCCAGACUGUGGUGACAGUUGUGUCAUGUUGAUAGAUAUUCCAGCUCCAGUGAGCCCUUUAAUAGGCUUGUGUCAACAUGUCAGCCAUCAGAGAGGCAGUGAGCAGUCCCCCGACAUGCUCGUCAUCUGGAUUCCAUUACGAUACAUCACUUGUCUGAAAACCACUGAAUCAGAUACGUCAAAUUCCAUUUGGUGCGUUUUACCGGUCUCGGUGGCGCAGUGGUUAAGCCAUCGGACUACAGGAUGAUAGGUACAGGGUUCGCAGCCCGGUACUGACUCCAACUCAGAGUGAGUUCUUAAGGGCUCAGUGGGUAGGCGUAAGGUCACUGCACACUAUUCUUUCUCACUUACCACAAACCAACUAACAACUAACCCAAUGUCCUGGAUAGACAGCCCAGAUAGCUGAGGUGUGUGCCCAGGACAGCGUGCUUGAACCUUAAAUGGUUAUAAGCACCAAAAUAAGUUGAAAU
Long non-coding RNA from Gigantopelta aegis, 883 nucleotides. RefSeq lists it as uncharacterized. NCBI's taxonomy places the organism in Eukaryota, Metazoa, Mollusca, Gastropoda, Neomphalida, Peltospiridae. The transcript has 4 exons. The record is from RefSeq and is a predicted model, not a curated record.